UAGGGAAUCUUCCACAAUGGACGCAAGUCUGAUGGAGCAACGCCGCGUGAGUGAAGACGGUCUUCGGAUCGUAAAACUCUGUUGUUAGAGAAGAACACGAGUGAGAGUAACUGUUCAUUCGAUGACGGUAUCUAACCAGCAAGUCACGGCUAACUACGUGCCAG
Molecule: ribosomal RNA, 164 nt
Filed under: uncultured bacterium
Lineage: Bacteria
Description: partial 16S rRNA
Rfam family: Bacterial small subunit ribosomal RNA
Source: RNAcentral